UGGGAAGUGGUGUAAUGGAAGCACCAAGAGUUUUGUUCUCUUGAAUAGGGGUUCGAGUCCUUUCUUCCUAA
RNAcentral lists this transfer RNA (71 nucleotides) under Bario sanctaefilomenae (redeye tetra). Its description in RNAcentral is "Moenkhausia sanctaefilomenae (redeye tetra) tRNA-Gln". It matches the Rfam family "tRNA". From Rfam's summary of the family: Transfer RNA (tRNA) molecules are approximately 80 nucleotides in length. Their secondary structure includes four short double-helical elements and three loops (D, anti-codon, and T loops). The record is from RNAcentral. Lineage: Eukaryota; Metazoa; Chordata; Actinopteri; Characiformes; Acestrorhamphidae.